Molecule: ribosomal RNA, 433 nt
Filed under: uncultured bacterium
Lineage: Bacteria
Description: partial 16S ribosomal RNA
Rfam family: Bacterial small subunit ribosomal RNA
Source: RNAcentral
AACGAACGCUGGCGGCAUGCCUAACACAUGCAAGUCGAACGAGACCUUCGGGUCUAGUGGCGCACGGGUGCGUAACGCGUGGGAACCUGCCCUUAGGUUCGGAAUAACUCCCCGAAAGGGGUGCUAAUACCGGUUAAUGUCUUCGGACCAAAGAUUUAUCGCCUUUGGAUGGGCCCGCGUUGGAUUAGCUAGUUGGUAGGGUAAAAGCCUACCAAGGCGACGAUCCAUAGCUGGUCUGAGAGGAUGAUCAACCACACUGGGACUGAGACACGGCCCAGACUCCUACGGGAGGCAGCAAUGGGGAAUGUUGGACAGUGGGGGAAAGCCUGAUCCAGCAAUGCCGCGUGAGUGAUGAAGGCCUGAGGGUUGUAAAGCUCUUUUACCCGGGAUGAUAAUGACAGUACCGGGAGAAUAAGCUCCGGCUAACUCCGUG